UGGGGAAUAUUGCACAAUGGGCGCAAGCCUGAUGCAGCCAUGCCGCGUUUGUGAAGAAGGCCUUCGGGUUGUAAAGCACUUUCAGCGGGGAGGAAGGCGUUAAGGUUAAUAACCUUGGCGAUUGACGUUACCCGCAGAAGAAGCACCGGCUAACUCCGUGCCAGCAGCCGCGGUAAUACGGAGGGUGCAAGCGUUAAUCGGAAUUACUGGGCGUAAAGCGCACGCAGGCGGUCUGUCAAGUCGGAUGUGAAAUCCCCGGGCUCAACCUGGGAACUGCAUUGGAAACUGGCAGGCUAGAGUCUUGUAGAGGGGGGUAGAAUUCCAGGUGUAGCGGUGAAAUGCGUAGAGAUCUGGAGGAAUACCGGUGGCGAAGGCGGCCCCCUGGACAAAGACUGACGCUCAGGUGCGAAAGCGUGGGGAGCAAACAGG
This 429-nucleotide ribosomal RNA is filed under the name Chloroflexota bacterium. Its description in RNAcentral is "Chloroflexi bacterium partial 16S ribosomal RNA". It matches the Rfam family "Bacterial small subunit ribosomal RNA", at positions 355 to 776 of the family's 1533-position model. Lineage: Bacteria; Bacillati; Chloroflexota. The record is from RNAcentral.